UACCAGCACCCCGAGUGGUCGGGACGAUUAUUGGGCCUAAAGCAUCCGUAGCCGGUUUUACAAGUCCUCCGUUAAAUCCAGCUGCUUAACAGAUGGGCUGCGGAGGAUACUAUAAGACUAGGAGGCAGGAGAGGCAAGCGGUACUCAGUGGGUAGGGGUAAAAUCCGUUGAUCCAUUGAAGACCACCAGUGGCGAAGGCGGCUCACUGGCCCGGUACUGACGCUGAGGUGCGAAAGCGUGGGGAGCAAACAGG
RNAcentral lists this ribosomal RNA (253 nucleotides) under uncultured bacterium. RNAcentral describes it as "partial 16S ribosomal RNA". It matches the Rfam family "Archaeal small subunit ribosomal RNA", at positions 474 to 727 of the family's 1478-position model. The record is from RNAcentral.